UACGAAGGGGGCUAGCGUUGUUCGGAAUUACUGGGCGUAAAGCGCAUGUAGGCGGCGAUUCAAGUCGGGGGUGAAAUCCUGGAGCUCAACUCCAGAACUGCCUUCGAUACUGCAUUGCUGGAGUAUGGAAGAGGUAGGUGGAACUGCGAGUGUAGAGGUGAAAUUCGUAGAUAUUCGCAAGAACACCAGUGGCGAAGGCGGCCUACUGGUCCAUCACUGACGCUGAGAUGCGAAAGCGUGGGGAGCGAACAGG
RNAcentral lists this ribosomal RNA (253 nucleotides) under uncultured bacterium. RNAcentral describes it as "partial 16S ribosomal RNA". It matches the Rfam family "Bacterial small subunit ribosomal RNA", at positions 524 to 776 of the family's 1533-position model. The record is from RNAcentral.